GACGAACGCUGGCGGCGUGCUUAACACAUGCAAGUCGAACGGAAAGGCCCUGCUUUUGUGGGGUGCUCGAGUGGCGAACGGGUGAGUAACACGUGAGUAACCUGCCCUUGACUUUGGGAUAACUUCAGGAAACUGGGGCUAAUACCGGAUAGGAGCUUCUGCUGCCGGGUGGGGGUUGGAAAGUUUCGGCGGUUGGGGAUGGACUCGCGGCUUAUCAGCUUGUUGGUGGGGUAGUGGCUUACCAAGGCUUUGACGGGUAGCCGGCCUGAGAGGGUGACCGGCCACAUUGGGACUGAGAUACGGCCCAGACUCCUACGGGAGUCAGCAGUGGGGAAUAUUGCACAAUGGGCGGAAGCCUGAUGCAGCAACGCCGCGUGCGGGAUGAAGGCCUUCCGGUUGUAAACCGCUUUCGCCUGUGACGAAGCGGGAGUGACGGUAAUGGGUAAAGAAGCACCGGCUAACUACGUG
This 468-nucleotide ribosomal RNA is filed under the name uncultured bacterium. RNAcentral's name for it is "partial 16S ribosomal RNA". It matches the Rfam family "Bacterial small subunit ribosomal RNA", at positions 28 to 507 of the family's 1533-position model. The record is from RNAcentral.